UAUUUAUAAAAGACAGUAAAGUUUCGCGAAGUAAUUUCAGUGAUCGUCCGUUCAAAAAUAAUUAAAGCGUAUUAGACUUAGUGCAUGAUUGAAAAGGAUCUCAACCAAUUUCGAUGUUAACCUAUCUCAUAUUUAAUUAGCUACGAAUCAAUCACCUUCAACUUUGACCUAUAUCGUGGAGGAGUGUUUUGGAGCCAUCACAGAACUUCUUAAUUAGAGAUAAUACUGUUAACAUAGCUUGGCAAGAGUUGACCGAUCGUUUGGAAUAAAUUGUUAAUAACCUGGCGUUGAUGUAAAACUCGGAAAUGGUUUAUACAAAAUAUAUAUCUUUUAUUAUUAACACUAUCAACGCAAUAAUUGAUUAAAAAAAAAAAAGGAAAUACAGAUUCAUAUUUGAGACGCAUAAGUUGGCAAUUGCUAAUCCAGUAACAGUUUCGCUAUUAGAUGUCGUCCAUCUUGGAACGAUUAAUUUGGAUUCACUUCCGGUUGCCUUGAAAAUCGAGGAUUUGUCUUUUAAUGUUUAAGACAAUAUAAAGACAUACUUAUCUAUCUGCAUCGAUGAAAUUCUCAAGACAAACAAUUCAGUACCAUCAUUAACUUCCGGUUUGGUUAAUUCGGUUUUGUAUUAUUUACGUAAGGCAUAUACACAGACGGUUGGUACAGAAGCACAAAUCGAAGAUAAAAACGUUACGAAUAAUAUGGCCCGUUUGAUUUAUCAAUCGAUGGAUUAUUGGUGUCCAGAUCCUGAUAAGCCAUUCGAUGUUGUUUAUAACAAAAAGUGCAGUCGAUUGUUCAUUGGCAUAUAUUAAUCCAUUGAGACGGAGGACAAAUCUGUUCUACUUUCAGGAACCGUUAAAAGUCAAUUAGCAUCUAUUUUAUCUUGGAUAGAAAAUGGUUAUCCCGUUAUUUUACGAGGCCAAAAGGGGUCUGGUAAAGGAAUUGGUGAGAGAAUUACUUCAGGACAAAGGAUUUCAUCAGAAGGAUUUCGCUCAAAUUCCGUUAACGUUAUUUUGUACUUCGGAUUAUAUUUUAUAUUGCUUUUCAUCCGAGAUUAAAAUGUCUCAUAGUUACAUAUAUAUUAUCUAUCGUUGGUUAUUUUGAUGCUUAACUAAAGCAGAACAAAAUAAAAAUCAAUAAUGAUACAUCAAAAUGUUGACAAAAGUAUUGUAAGAAGAAUAAUUAUUUCAAUUAAUAUAAAAAUUCGGUACGCCGUUCGAAGAACAUAUAAGUAGUAUUGAAAAUCAUAAGAGUAAAAUUAAAACAUUAAAAUAGAAGGAAAUGCAGAAAAAAUUCUCGAACAGAAUAUAAUGGCAGGAUUAACUAAAUUAGAACAAAUGUAUAAUACAAAUCUUGACGAUGUAAGAAACAAAAAUGGGAGUAAUCAAACUGAUAGAUUUUCACCAGCUGAGAUAAAUAAUUUUCAACCGAUGGACGCUUUCCGAUGGGAAUGAAUUUUUUUUCAGAACAAUUAAGAUUUAUUCCAAAGGAUAAAUGCUUGUCCUUUUGAGGAGAACGAGUCUGGGGGUUUUUUCCAGCUCACUCGUUCCUCAAUAUGCUGGCACGUUUAAAAGAAAUAAAUCUCGAAUAGUUCAAAAAGGCUUGGCUGAUCCAGCUACUGAUGAAAUGGGAGAAGUAUCCGAAACUUCGAAUAACUCCAUGAUUUUCCUUGUGAAGCUUUGGAUUGUGAAAAGACAUUUAAAACAAACAGAAGCCGUGUACUUUACUACAGUAAAACCAAUAAUGACUGGUAUGAUGUGCACGCGAGAACUGACCACAAGAAAGCAGCAUUAGGUUAGAUGAAGAGAUGAUGUUAAUGGAAAAAGAAAAGAUUAUAUUAAAGAUCGAAGGAGAACGAUU
Vespa velutina is the source of this 1857-nucleotide long non-coding RNA. RefSeq lists it as uncharacterized. NCBI's taxonomy places the organism in Eukaryota, Metazoa, Arthropoda, Insecta, Hymenoptera, Vespidae. The record is from RefSeq and is a predicted model, not a curated record. The transcript is spliced from 4 exons.